Molecule: ribosomal RNA, 432 nt
Filed under: uncultured bacterium
Lineage: Bacteria
Description: bacterial SSU rRNA
Rfam family: Bacterial small subunit ribosomal RNA
Source: RNAcentral
AUUGGGGAAUUUUCCGCAAUGGGGGAAACCCUGAUGGAGCGACGCCGCGUGCAGGAAGACGGCCUUCGGGUUGUAAACUGCUUUUAUAUGGGAACAAAUCAUUGAGCGUACCAUAUGAAUAAGCACCGACUAACCACGUGCCAGCAGUCGCGGUAAUACGUGGGGUGCAAGCGUUACCCGGAAUUAUUGGGCGUAAAGCGUCUGUAGGCUGUUUUGUCAGUCCGCUGCUAAAAUCAUCAGGCUCAACCUGGUGGCUGGCACGGAUACUGCAAAACUCGAGGAUGAGAGAGGCAAGCGGAACUCCCGGUGUAGCGAUGAAAUGCGUUUAUAUCGGGGGGAACACCAGUGGCGUAAGCGGCUUGCUGGCUCAUUUCUAACGCUGAGAGACGAAAGCGUGGGUAGCGAAUGGGAUUAGAUACCCCAGUAGUCAAU